UACAGAGGUCCCAAGCGUUGUUCGGAUUCACUGGGCGUAAAGGGUGCGUAGGCGGUCGGGUAAGUCUGAUGUGAAAUCUCACAGCUUAACUGUGAAACUGCAUUGGAUACUAUCCGGCUCGAGGAAUGGAGGGGAGACUGGAAUACUUGGUGUAGCAGUGAAAUGCGUAGAUAUCAAGUGGAACACCAGUGGCGAAGGCGGCUACCUGGACCAGCACUGACACUGAAGCACGAAAGCGUGGGGAGCAAACAGG
RNAcentral lists this ribosomal RNA (253 nucleotides) under uncultured bacterium. Its description in RNAcentral is "partial 16S ribosomal RNA". It matches the Rfam family "Bacterial small subunit ribosomal RNA", at positions 524 to 776 of the family's 1533-position model. The record is from RNAcentral.